UGGGGAAUAUUGCACAAUGGGCGCAAGCCUGAUGCAGCCAUGCCGCGUGUAUGAAGAAGGCCUUCGGGUUGUAAAGUACUUUCAGUCGGGAGGAAGGUGGUAAGGUUAAUAACCUUAUCAAUUGACGUUACCGACAGAAGAAGCACCGGCUAACUCCGUGCCAGCAGCCGCGGUAAUACGGAGGGUGCAAGCGUUAAUCGGAAUUACUGGGCGUAAAGCGCACGCAGGCGGUUGAUUGAGUCAGAUGUGAAAUCCCCGGGCUUAACCCGGGAAUUGCAUCUGAUACUGGUCAGCUAGAGUCUUGUGGAGGGGGGUAGAAUUCCCUGUGUAGCGAUGAAAUGCGUAGAGCUGUGGAGGAAUACCGGUGGCGAAGGCGGCCCCCUGGACAAAGCCUGACGCUCAGGUGCGAAAGCGUGGGGAGCAAACAGG
RNAcentral lists this ribosomal RNA (429 nucleotides) under Chloroflexota bacterium. Its description in RNAcentral is "Chloroflexi bacterium partial 16S ribosomal RNA". It matches the Rfam family "Bacterial small subunit ribosomal RNA", at positions 355 to 776 of the family's 1533-position model. The record is from RNAcentral. Lineage: Bacteria; Bacillati; Chloroflexota.